Molecule: long non-coding RNA, 2048 nt
Organism: Olea europaea var. sylvestris
Lineage: Eukaryota; Viridiplantae; Streptophyta; Magnoliopsida; Lamiales; Oleaceae
Exons: 3
Source: RefSeq, a predicted model, not a curated record
CCUCCCUGAUUAUGCUUCCGAAAACAAUAGUGUUCUCUAACAUAAAGGGCACUCCUUUCCAUAUUUCUUUCUUCUUUCUGUAUUUCUAUUUUCUUGUUCGUGGGUUUGGAUUUUGGACUGCGAAGUUGAAGAAGUGAGAAAAAGGGCCCUUUGGGAUGUUACAAAAUGAUGGUUCAAAAAUUUCGAGUGUACAGAAUUUUAAGUGUACAGAAUGUGUAUAGAUCUCACAAAAUGAAUGGCCCCUCAUGAAUAUUUUAUUGCCAAAAAAUCUGAUCUUUUUUAUCUCGGAGUUACUGUUCUUGGUUUCGCCACCGACUUGAUUUUCUCUUGUUUUCAAGGUCUUUAUUGUUCUGCAUCUUCAUUGCUCACCUAGAGCAAGGUGAGGGUGAAUGCAAUUGUUCAGAAACAUGGUUUGUCAUUGUGCAGCCCUUUUAUGAAAAUUAUGUACAUAGAGUGUCUUGGAUGAAAAGUAACAGGUAAACCCAACCAGCAUUUUACAGGUUUGUUGAAAUCUAAAUUUAAUUAAAUAAUUGUGUUGACUUUGACUUUGAGCAUGUUGUUUGUAUGGUAUCCUUUUGGUUGUUGAAUUCCAUUUGGUAGGCUUUUUAUUUUCCCUCUUUUGAAGCUAUUUUGCUGCUGAGAAGUAACAACUAAGAGCUCAAAGAUCACUGCUCAAAGAAGUAACAAGUAUGUGUGAAGGAGUGUCGAUGAUGCGCAGACCGUAUUUCGCGGACCAAAUGGUGAAUACAAGGUACCUGACUAAUGUAUGGAAAAUAGCCCUCGAAUUGGAGGACCUAUAGAGAGGAGGGGCAUUGAGAAAACCAUUAGGACGCUCAUGGGGGAUAAAGAAGGCAAGAAAAUGAGACAGAGAGCACUCAAAAUGAAACAAGAACUUGAGUUUUCUGUACAGAGAGGAGGUUCUUCAUAGAAAUCGUUAGAAAAUCUAGUAGUGUUUAUCAUGUCAUUCACACAACAAAAAUGACUAGGCCACUACGAUUCCUGAGCUGAGGGAUUGAAGUCAAAUUAAGUUAUAUUUCUAUAAUUUUAUGUAGUAUAUGUUAAUUGGGUACCUCAAAAUCCGGUUGAAAUCUUCGAGAUGGUGUGAGUGUUUUGAAUUUGGAAAGGAAUCAAUAGCAUCCAAUAUUAUGGAAAUAAAAUCUGGGCGCUGGAUUUUUAAUUUUUUCUUUUUCACGUGAUUUUGCCUAGUUUCCAACUUUAACCUAAUUUCUAGAGUUUGGCUCAUGCACUAUAAAUUAAUGGCUUGCUUUUCUGUUAGUUUUUUGAGAAGCAUUAUUGCUUUCUGUAUUAUUCUCUUCCUAUUGUCGGGUUUAAUAAAAUUCAUCGUUCAUUUGCUUAGUUUCUUUUUUGUACUUUACUUUAAUCUUGUUUUCGUUGUGCGAUCUUGAAUAUUUCAUUAUUGUCAUUAAAUCUCAAUCUUGUGUCGCCUUUGAACUCAACAAGUGGUAUCAGAGCACAAGUUGCAGGUUCUUCAUGAUUUGGUUGAGAAUUUUCAAGGAUGAAUUCGUUGAAGUAUGAAAUUCUGCUAUUGGAUUGUAAUACAAGAUUUUCCCUGUAGCAAGUAAAGGUGAAGGCUGUGUUGACGCAGAUAGAUCUUGACAAUGCUUUGCUGGAUUUUGAGAGGAUGCCAGCAAAUUUGUAUACAGAGGAGAAACAACGAAGGGAUCGAAAGGCUUUAGCGCAGAUUCAUCUUCAUUGAUCUAACAAUAUUCUGCAGGAUGUCUUAAAGGAGAAGAUGGCCACUGCUUUGUGGCUCAAGUUGGAGUAGUUGUGCAUGACAAAGAGUUUGACGAGCAAACUGACUCUAAAGUAGAAGUUGAAUUUCCAUCGUAUGGCAGAAGGAGGGUCACUGCAAAACCAUCUUGCUGUGUUCAAGGAGAUUGUUGCAGAUUUGGAGACGUUGGAUGUAAAAUAUGAUUAAGAUCUGGCCUUGAUCCUAUUAUUGUUCGCUACUCAGUUCUUUUUCGUCGUUUCAAAUAUACUAUAAUGAUCUACUUGACAAAUAGAAUAAGUUAGUUUAUUUUUAUUUA